CCCUUAGAUGUUCUGGGCCGCACGCGUGCUACACUGAUGCAUUCAACGAGUCUAAAACCUGGUCUGAUAGGGCUGGGUAAUCUUUUGAAAGUGCAUCGUGAUUGGGGUAGAUGAUCGCAAUUCUUCAUCUUCAACGAGGAAUGCCCAGUAAACGCAAGUCAUCAGCUUGCAUUGAUUACGUCCCUGCCCUUUGUACACACCGCCCGUCGCUACUACCGAUUGAACGGUUUAGUGAGGGCCUCGGAUUGGUCUCGGCCCGCUCUUUACCGGGCGGCGCCGUUGGUCGAGAAGACGCUCGAACUUGAUCGUUUAGAGGAAGUAAAAGUCGUAACA
This 333-nucleotide ribosomal RNA is filed under the name uncultured eukaryote. Its description in RNAcentral is "partial 18S ribosomal RNA". It matches the Rfam family "Eukaryotic small subunit ribosomal RNA", at positions 1470 to 1796 of the family's 1831-position model. The record is from RNAcentral.